GAUGAACGCUGGCGGCGUGCCUAAUACAUGCAAGUCGAGCGAACAGACGAGGAGCUUGCUCCUCUGACGUUAGCGGCGGACGGGUGAGUAACACGUGGAUAACCUACCUAUAAGACUGGGAUAACUUCGGGAAACCGGAGCUAAUACCGGAUAAUAUAUUGAACCGCAUGGUUAAAUAGUAAAAAAGGGUUUUGCUGUCACUUAUAGAUGGAUCCGCGCCGCAUUAGCUAGUUGGUAAGGUAACGGCUUACCAAGGCAACGAUGCGUAGCCGACCUGAGAGGGUGAUCGGCCACACUGGAACUGAGACACGGUCCAGACUCCUACGGGAGGCAGCAGUAGGGAAUCUUCCGCAAUGGGCGAAAGCCUGACGGAGCAACGCCGCGUGAGUGAUGAAGGUCUUCGGAUCGUAAAACUCUGUUAUUAGGGAAGAACAAAUGUGUAAGUAACUAUGCACGUCUUGACGGUACCUAAUCAGAAAGCCACGGCUAACUACGUG
RNAcentral lists this ribosomal RNA (497 nucleotides) under uncultured bacterium. RNAcentral describes it as "partial 16S ribosomal RNA". It matches the Rfam family "Bacterial small subunit ribosomal RNA", at positions 28 to 507 of the family's 1533-position model. The record is from RNAcentral.